Molecule: ribosomal RNA, 301 nt
Filed under: uncultured bacterium
Lineage: Bacteria
Description: partial 16S ribosomal RNA
Rfam family: Bacterial small subunit ribosomal RNA
Source: RNAcentral
CAGUCGCCGCGGGAAUACAGAGGGUGCAAGCGUUAAUCGGAAUUACUGGGCGUAAAGCGCGCGUAGGUGGUUUGUUAAGUUGGAUGUGAAAUCCCCGGGCUUAACCUGGGAACUGCAUCCAAAACUGGCAAGCUAGAGUAUGGUAGAGGGUGGUGGAAUUUCCUGUGUAGCGGUGAAAUGCGUAGAUAUAGGAAGGAACACCAGUGGCGAAGGCGACCACCUGGACUGAUACUGACACUGAGGUGCGAAAGCGUGGGGAGCAAACAGGAUUAGAUACCCCAGUAGUCCCUGUCUCUUAUAC